AUUCAGCUGACGAGUCCCAAAUAGGACGAAACGCGUGUCCUGGAU
Molecule: non-coding RNA, 45 nt
Organism: Schistosoma mansoni
Lineage: Eukaryota; Metazoa; Platyhelminthes; Trematoda; Strigeidida; Schistosomatidae
Source: Rfam